UGGACACUUUAGUCUUUGAAUGUGGCCUUG
This 30-nucleotide non-coding RNA is filed under the name Mus musculus (house mouse). The record is from RNAcentral. Lineage: Eukaryota; Metazoa; Chordata; Mammalia; Rodentia; Muridae.